RNAcentral lists this unclassified non-coding RNA (363 nucleotides) under Hevea brasiliensis (rubber tree). The record is from RNAcentral. Lineage: Eukaryota; Viridiplantae; Streptophyta; Magnoliopsida; Malpighiales; Euphorbiaceae.
UUGAUGCACAUUAUGAUGACAAAAAUUCACCAUGUUGGUAAAGCCAACCACUUCAGGGCAAGACGACAAAUGGCUGAAAGUUUAGGACAGAUUGCCAAGUUUAAGCGUCGCUAUGGACAAGAAGAUGUUGAAGAAACUGCAAAAUGACUCAAUUGUAAAAGCAAAAGACGAGCUUCACAUUGGUGCUCAAGUUUUCCCAUGCAUUUUAGUUUAGAAGGUCACAACAAACCCAAGGAUAUUCUGCAGUGGAACAAAAUUUCACCGUUGGUAACUCAUCAUUGUCGCCAUGGCUCAAGAGAGCAAUCAAAAACCAGCAGCAUAUAAACCAUCACUACACACACUCACUUACUUACCAACAUCCUC